GCUCCUUGAUUCAGCGGCGGACGGGUGAGUAAUGCCUAGGAAUCUGCCUGGUAGUGGGGGACAACGUUUCGAAAGGAACGCUAAUACCGCAUACGUCCUACGGGAGAAAGCAGGGGACCUUCGGGCCUUGCGCUAUCAGAUGAGCCUAGGUCGGAUUAGCUAGUUGGUGGGGUAAUGGCUCACCAAGGCGACGAUCCGUAACUGGUCUGAGAGGAUGAUCAGUCACACUGGAACUGAGACACGGUCCAGACUCCUACGGGAGGCAGCAGUGGGGAAUAUUGGACAAUGGGCGAAAGCCUGAUCCAGCCAUGCCGCGUGUGUGAAGAAGGUCUUCGGAUUGUAAAGCACUUUAAGUUGGGAGGAAGGGCAGUAAGUUAAUACCUUGCUGUUUUGACGUUACCGACAGAAUAAGCACCGGCUAACUCUGUGCCAGCAGCCGCGGUAAUACAGAGGGUGCAAGCGUUAAUCGGAAUUACUGGGCGUAAAGCGCGCGUAGGUGGUUUGUUAAGUUGGAUGUGAAAGCCCCGGGCUCAACCUGGGAACUGCAUCCAAAACUGGCAAGCUAGAGUACGGUAGAGGGUGGUGGAAUUUCCUGUGUAGC
RNAcentral lists this ribosomal RNA (601 nucleotides) under Pseudomonas alloputida. RNAcentral describes it as "16S ribosomal RNA". It matches the Rfam family "Bacterial small subunit ribosomal RNA", at positions 82 to 679 of the family's 1533-position model. The record is from RNAcentral. Lineage: Bacteria; Pseudomonadati; Pseudomonadota; Gammaproteobacteria; Pseudomonadales; Pseudomonadaceae.